Molecule: small nuclear RNA, 104 nt
Filed under: Ailuropoda melanoleuca (giant panda)
Lineage: Eukaryota; Metazoa; Chordata; Mammalia; Carnivora; Ursidae
Source: RNAcentral
GUGCUUGCUUUGGCAGCACGUAUACUAACAUUGGAACAAUACAGAGAUUAUCAUAGCCCCUGUGCAAGGAUGACACACAAAUUUGUGAAGCGUUCCAUAUUUUU